AGGACGAACGCUGGCGGCGUGCCUAACACAUGCAAGUCGAACGGGACUGGGGGCAACUCCAGUUCAGUGGCAGAUGGGUGCGUAACACGUGAGGAACUUGUCCGACGGCGGGGGAUAGCCGGCCCAACGGCCGGGUAAUACCGCGUACGCUCAUUUGGGGACAUCCCUGGGUGAGGAAAGCAGCCGCAAGGUUGCGCCGAUGGAGAGCCUCGCGGCGUAUCAGCUAGUUGGCGGGGUAAUGGCUCACCAAGGCGACGACGGGUAGC
RNAcentral lists this ribosomal RNA (266 nucleotides) under uncultured bacterium. RNAcentral describes it as "partial small subunit ribosomal RNA". It matches the Rfam family "Bacterial small subunit ribosomal RNA", at positions 26 to 287 of the family's 1533-position model. The record is from RNAcentral.